AUGCUGGGUAACGUAGCUCAUCCACAGGUUGGCGUACCAAUGGGUGGAACACUGAUGCAAUCUUGGAUGGAGCUGUGGAAUGAGUGGGAGAUCCAAACUGUUGUUGUCGCCAGCUUCAGUCUGCAGGUUCUCCUCUUUUUCUUUGCUGGGAUCCGCCGCUACACCGUCUCUUCUAUUCUCAAGGUCCUCCUCUGGUUUGUAUAUCUGUUUGCUGAUGUCGUUGCAACAUAUGGCCUGGGUCACAUGUCCUCGUCAGUGUCGAAGAAAUCGUCUAGCGAGCACCAGCUAGUGGCGUUCUGGGCGCCAUUCCUCCUGCUGCACCUCGGCGGCCAGGACACCAUCACUGCGUAUGCCUUGGAGGACAAUGAACUCUGGCGGCGCCACCCCCCAAGGCGACGUACACCUUUUCUCCUGAGGAUUUAUGCCUAUUUUUCCCCCAAGACCUUUUCUCGUGAGGGGGAUGACCAAAAAGGUGGAGACUGCUUCACCAAAAACAAACAAUUUAGAGCAUAUGAAUUUAUUGUGAUGACAGCACACGAGUUGCGCCAUGUACUUGUCAAGCCUUUAAUCAUAGACAGGAAUGAGGCGUCCAUAGACUGGAAUUAUAAAACAACUGCUCUUGUAAAGGGUCUUGUACAAGGAUUUCCAUGGCAAGACGACGAGAGCGAAGAUGCAUUGGCAAAGGAGCAGAGGACUGUUGGGGAGCUGUACAAGGGAAUAGAGGUGCAGCUCGGCCUGAUGUAUGACAUGCUCUACACCAAGGCAGAAGUGAUCCACAAAAGCCGUGGCCACUGGAUCCGUGCCAUUUCACUUGUGUGUUGCUUCACCGCUCUUGUGGUCUUCACAAGAAGCAAGAGAGAUGGAUACAGCACACCCAACAUUGUUAUCACUUUUGCUCUUCUGGGCGGAGCUUGCGCACUGGAGGUCACAUCUGUUUUAAAGGCGAUUGGGUCAACCUGGACAUAUGACAUCUUGAGACGCUACAGAUGUAAGUGGCUGGCCAAUGCAGUUCUGUUUGCACGUUACCACCUCGUCGUCGUCAAGGAUGGAAGGUGGUCCAAUUCCGUCGGGCAAUUUGACUUCAUAUCCUUCUGUGUUCACAGCAGCAAGAGGGGCCUCAAGGGAACAAUAGCCCGUUUGAUUGGGGUCAAGGACUUGUGGGACAAAGCUCGCUGCACCAAACAUGCCAAGCUUUCACCUGCCGCGAAGGAGUUCGUAUGGGGCUUGCUCAAAGGUGACAAGACUCAUAUGGUUGAAAUUGAAGAGGCGGACAUGCGAAGUGGGAACUGGGCUCGUAGGUUCAGGGGCAUCGACGACCGGAUCAAACAGCUCGAUUGGAGCAUGAGUUUCGAAUUUCAGAAGAGUGUGGUUAUCUGGCAUAUAGCUACAAGCACCUUCCUCAGUAACCCCGCCGUCAAAUCGAAGCUGGUCGACAAGGACAUGGCUGAAGAAGUUAAUACUCUGUCUCAUUACAUGAUGUACCUCCUCGUCAAGCAUCCUGACAUUCUGCGCAUGAAACCGGCUGCUAAGGACAUGUUUGAGGAAACCUGCCUCUGUUACGGUUUGGGUAUGCAUAGGUUAGGCUGGAAGAGAAGUAAUGUGGUUGAUUUUCACCAUGUAAUUCUGGAUUACAAUAAAGGGGGCAAGCAUCUUGAGGACGAACCAUAUGAUGGCUUGACGAUGACGCAGCGUCUUAAAUAUAUAGAAGAUCUAUAUGGUGACUUGACGCAUCCCAGUUGGGAUGCUCACCCGGGGGAUGCUGUGCUGGUGAAAGCAUCCACCCUUGCCCACACAUUGCUCGAUGUGGAGUUGGGGCUCACAUAUAAGAUGGCGAUAAUCAGAACGGUGUGGAUGGAGAUGUUGUGCUACGCAGCAACCAAUGCAGCAGAGGGAUUCCACGCCAGGCAGCUGAGCAAUGGUGGUGAGUUUCUGACCCACAUCCUGCUCCUAACUAAAUAUUCCUCUUUUAUAGAUAAUAAUAAUCCAAAGCCGUCCAUGGAAGCUGAUGAAACUGUGGAGGCUAGUACUGCUGACCACGUACAGCUGAAUGUGGAUGAUGAUUCCAAUGAUGAGACCAUCGAAAUCCGCCCAAUGUAG
Molecule: ribosomal RNA, 2097 nt
Filed under: Triticum aestivum (bread wheat)
Lineage: Eukaryota; Viridiplantae; Streptophyta; Magnoliopsida; Poales; Poaceae
Description: partial small subunit ribosomal RNA
Source: RNAcentral